AUACUUACCUGGAGGGGGAGAUACAUGAUCAAGAAGGUGGUUCACCCAGGGCGAGGCGCUUAACAUUGCACUCGGGUUAUGCUGCCCUGACGAAUUCCCCAAAUGUGGGAAUCUCGACUGCAUAAUUUUGUGUAGUGGGGGACUGCGUUCGCGACUCUGCA
This is a small nuclear RNA of Etheostoma spectabile (orangethroat darter), 161 nucleotides long. RefSeq annotates it as U1 spliceosomal RNA. The transcript has a single exon. NCBI's taxonomy places the organism in Eukaryota, Metazoa, Chordata, Actinopteri, Perciformes, Percidae. The record is from RefSeq and is a predicted model, not a curated record.